RNAcentral lists this ribosomal RNA (512 nucleotides) under uncultured bacterium. Its description in RNAcentral is "partial 16S ribosomal RNA". It matches the Rfam family "Bacterial small subunit ribosomal RNA", at positions 28 to 523 of the family's 1533-position model. The record is from RNAcentral.
GACGAACGCUGGCGGCGUGCUUAACACAUGCAAGUCGAACGGAGAUUCAGCAAUGGAUCUUAGUGGCGAACGGGUGAGUAACGCGUAGGCAAUCUGCCUUCUAGAUGGGGACAACAUCCCGAAAGGGGUGCUAAUACCGAAUGUUGUAUGAUCUUCGCAUGGAGAUGAUACUAAAGGUGGCCUGUGAAUAUGCUACCGCUAGAAUAUGAGCCUGCGUCUGAUUAGCUAGUUGGAGGGGUAACGGCCCACCAAGGCUUCGAUCAGUAGCCGGUCUGAGAGGAUGAACGGCCAGACUGGGACUGAGACACGGCCCAGACUCCUACGGGAGGCAGCAGUGGGGAAUCUUCCGCAAUGGACGAAAGUCUGACGGAGCAACGCCGCGUGAGUGAAGAAGGUUUUCGGAUCGUAAAGCUCUUUCGUUAGGGACGAACGUGCUCUUUGUGAAUAAUGAGGAGUAAUGACGGUACCUAAAUAAGAAGCCACGGCUAACUACGUGCCAGCAGCCGCCGUAA